This 304-nucleotide ribosomal RNA is filed under the name uncultured bacterium. RNAcentral's name for it is "partial 16S ribosomal RNA". It matches the Rfam family "Bacterial small subunit ribosomal RNA", at positions 506 to 807 of the family's 1533-position model. The record is from RNAcentral.
CAGCAGUAGCCGCGGUAAUACGGAGGGUGCAAGCGUUAAUCGGAAUUACUGGGCGUAAAGCGCACGCAGGCGGUCUGACAAGUCAGAUGUGAAAUCCCCGGGCUUAACCUGGGAACUGCAUUUGAAACUGUCAGGCUGGAGUCUUGUAGAGGGGGGUGGAAUUCCAGGUGUAGCGGUGAAAUGCGUAGAGAUCUGGAGGAAUACCGGUGGCGAAGGCGGCCCCCUGGACAAAGACUGACGCUCAGGUGCGAAAGCGUGGGGAGCAAACAGGAUUAGAUACCCGAGUAGUCCCUGUCUCUUAUAC